RNAcentral lists this ribosomal RNA (327 nucleotides) under uncultured eukaryote. Its description in RNAcentral is "partial 18S ribosomal RNA". It matches the Rfam family "Eukaryotic small subunit ribosomal RNA", at positions 1470 to 1796 of the family's 1831-position model. The record is from RNAcentral.
CCCUUAGAUGUUCUGGGCCGCACACGCGCUACACUGAAGGAGGCAGCGUGUACUCCUGGAUCGAAAGAUUUGGGUAACCCGCGAAUCUCCUUCGUGCUAGGGAUUGAGGUUUGCAAUUAUCCUUCAUGAACGAGGAAUUCCCAGUAAGUGCAAGUCAUAAGCUUGCGCUGACUACGUCCCUGCCCUUUGUACACACCGCCCGUCGCUCCUACCGAUUGAAUGGUCCGGUGAAAAUUUCGGAUACCGGCAUUGCUGGCGGUUCGCCGCCGGCGACGCUGGUAGAAGAUCUUUAAACCUUAUCAUUUAGAGGAAGGAGAAGUCGUANCA